This 1400-nucleotide ribosomal RNA is filed under the name uncultured Bacillota bacterium. RNAcentral describes it as "bacterial SSU rRNA". It matches the Rfam family "Bacterial small subunit ribosomal RNA". Lineage: Bacteria; Bacillati; Bacillota. The record is from RNAcentral.
UGCUACCAUGCAAGUCGAGCGAGACCCGCGCGAGCCAUUUUCGGAUGGGGAGCGCGGUGGAAGCGGCGGACGGGUGAGUAACGCGUAGGCAACCUGCCCCUUGCAGGGGGACAGCCUCGGGAAACCGGGAUUAAGACCCCAUGACCCGGGAUGGCGGCAUCGCCAGCCCGGCAAAGAUUCAUCGGCAAGGGAUGGGCCUGCGUCUGAUUAGCUAGUUGGCGGGGUGACGGCCCACCAAGGCGACGAUCAGUAGCCGGCCUGAGAGGGUGAACGGCCACAUUGGAACUGAGACACGGUCCAAACUCCUACGGGAGGCAGCAGUGGGGAAUAUUGCACAAUGGGCGGAAGCCUGAUGCAGCAACGCCGCGUGAGCGAUGAAGGCCCUUGGGUCGUAAAGCUCUGUCCAUGGGGAAGAAGAGAUGACGGUACCCGUGGAGGAAGCCCCGGCUAACUACGUGCCAGCAGCCGCGGUAAUACGUAGGGGGCGAGCGUUAUCCGGAAUCAUUGGGCGUAAAGAGUGCGUAGGCGGCUGCCUAAGCGCGGGGUUUAAGGCGACGGCCCAACCGUCGCAGGCCCUGCGAACUGGGCGGCUUGAGUGCGGGAGAGGAAAGCGGAAUUCCUAGUGUAGCGGUGAAAUGCGUAGAUAUUAGGAGGAACACCGGUGGCGAAGGCGGCUUUCUGGACCGAAACUGACGCUGAGGCACGAAAGCGUGGGGAGCAAACAGGAUUAGAUACCCUGGUAGUCCACGCCGUAAACGAUGAGCACUAGGUGUCGGGGCCGCAAGGCCUCGGUGCCGCAGCCAACGCAAUAAGUGCUCCGCCUGGGGAGUACGCACGCAAGUGUGAAACUCAAAGGAAUUGACGGGGACCCGCACAAGCAGCGGAGCAUGUGGUUUAAUUCGAAGCAACGCGAAGAACCUUACCAGGGCUUGACAUCCCCCCGCAAGCGGGGUAAUGCCCGCCCCCCUUCGGGGCGGGGGAGACAGGUGGUGCAUGGUUGUCGUCAGCUCGUGUCGUGAGAUGUUGGGUUAAGUCCCGCAACGAGCGCAACCCUUGCCAUCAGUUGCCAGCGGUUAGGCCGGGCACUCUGGUGGGACUGCCGGGGACAACUCGGAGGAAGGUGGGGAUGACGUCAAAUCAUCAUGCCCCUUAUGCCCUGGGCUACACACGUGCUACAAUGGCCGGCACAGAGGGAGGCAAAGCCGCGAGGCGGAGCAAAACCCCAAAGCCGGUCCCAGUUCGGAUUGCAGGCUGCAACUCGCCUGCAUGAAGUCGGAGUUGCUAGUAAUCGCGAAUCAGAACGUCGCGGUGAAUGCGUUCCCGGGUCUUGUACACACCGCCCGUCACACCAUGGAAGUUGGGGGCGCCCGAAGUCGGCCGGCAAAUAGGCUGCCUAAGCG